UAUGAUAUCAGUCUUAGUUUCAAUUUCGGUUUUACAUCGUGUUUGUCAAUACAGAUCGGGUUUGAAGUAUGUGAUUCACAAUUGUCGAAUAAAAUUCUCUGAUCCACACUCCUCCAGUUCAAUAUACUUUCAUACAAAAUCAUGUCGCUAAGUAACUCAUGUAGAGGCCUAAGUGUUUUUUCCAGCUUAAUAUAUCAAAGAGAACAUUGAAACGCUUAUGCAGAGGUAGCUGUAGAUGUCACUUAAUUGUCUAGAAAAGCUGUAUCUAGAUUAAUAAUUUACGCCUAUGCCUUUGCCAAUACGCAUAUGAAAAGCUUAAAAUGAUAUUAGAAACCUGAAUCCAGCAUAAAGUUGGUUGUUGUUGAUCUUUGCCAGUUGAAAUUAUUUCGCUAUUUUUAGUGGUAGAAAUGUUAUGGCAACUUGAUUUUUAUGAAUGAUAACAACCAACUCGAUCAAGAAGAUUCAACACUAAAAAGAAAUUUUUUUUAUUUGCAUGUAUGUUUCAGCAUGAAUCCGAACCAAUUGAAUAGCAUGGUAGAGUUACAGAGCUUAAUUUAUUCACAUUGCCUGACUAAUCGGACGAAACUCCACAAGGAUUUUUCGAUGAUCACGGUCUCGGUUAAACUUACAUUUAGUAUUUGCAAUGAAUUUAAUUCCUUUCACUUUGCCCUAUAUAUACAUAAAUUUAACGGAUAAGUCAAUGAUAAAAAAUGAUUGUAUUUUCAUAAAAGUAUUAAGAUUUUAAAAAGCUACAACAACAACAAAAAAAAUAUUUAAAAAAGACACAUGGUAAAGCGUAGCUUGCAAAGGAGAAAGCAAUUAAUGUUUAGUAUUUCAAUAAUAAGGAUCAAACAAAAAAUAUCGAACAAAAACGAGAAAUUUGUAUCAAUAUUGGAGUUGCCAUCAAUAGUAGUUUAUGUUGACAAAUUAUUGGUUUUUUACAGCUUUUAAAUUUUUUUCCCUUCUUUUGUUUGUUUCGCAAAAAAAAAUUGUAAAAUAAAUAAUAUUAUUGGAGAAAUUACCGCUGUUUUCUACGUAGAA
This is a long non-coding RNA of Bradysia coprophila, 1041 nucleotides long. NCBI's taxonomy places the organism in Eukaryota, Metazoa, Arthropoda, Insecta, Diptera, Sciaridae. The record is from RefSeq and is a predicted model, not a curated record.